RNAcentral lists this ribosomal RNA (436 nucleotides) under Corixa punctata. Its description in RNAcentral is "partial large subunit ribosomal RNA". It matches the Rfam family "Archaeal large subunit ribosomal RNA", at positions 1921 to 2592 of the family's 2987-position model. The record is from RNAcentral. Lineage: Eukaryota; Metazoa; Arthropoda; Insecta; Hemiptera; Corixidae.
GUCCUUUUGAUUUUUAUUUAAGGUCUGACCUGCCCACUGAUUUAUUUAAUGGCCGCGGUAUUCUGACCGUGCAAAGGUAGCAUAAUAAUUUGUCUUUUAAUUGAAGGCUUGUAUGAAUGGUUGGACGAGAAAGCUUCUUUCUUUAUAGUAUAUUUAUGAAUUUUAUUUUUUAGUUAAAAAGCUGAAAUGUUAUUGUAGGACGAGAAGACCCUAUAGAACUUUAUAAUUUUUGUUAUAUUAAUAUUUUUGGUUAAUAAAUAUAUUAUUUAAUGUAAAUUAUUUUGUUGGGGCGACAAGAAAAUUUAUUUAACUUUUUUUAAUUAAUUUCACUAAUUGGUGUAUAAAUGAUCCUUUAUUAUGGAUAAUAAGAAUAAGUUACCUUAGGGAUAACAGCGUAAUUUUUUUGGAGAGUUCUUAUCGAUAAAGAAGUUUGCGA